Molecule: ribosomal RNA, 472 nt
Filed under: uncultured bacterium
Lineage: Bacteria
Description: SSU rRNA
Rfam family: Bacterial small subunit ribosomal RNA
Source: RNAcentral
AGGACGAACGCUGGCGGCGUGCUUAACACAUGCAAGUCGAGCGGAAAGGCCCUUCGGGGUACUCGAGCGGCGAACGGGUGAGUAACACGCGAGCAACCUGCCCUUAGCUCCGGGAUAGCUCCGGGAAACCGGAAUUAAUACCGGAUACGACCACGGCCGACAUCUGCUGUGGUGGAAAGGAUUCCGGCUAAGGAUGGGCUCGCGGCCUAUCAGCUAGUUGGUGGAGUAACGGCCCACCAAGGCGACGACGGGUAGCCGGCCUGAGAGGGCGACCGGCCACACUGGGACUGAGACACGGCCCAGACUCCUACGGGAGGCAGCAGUGGGAAUAUUGCGCAAUGGGCGAAAGCCUGACGCAGCGACGCCGCGUGGGGGAUGAAGGCCUUCGGGUUGUAAACCCUUUCAGCAGGGACGAAGCGAAAGUGACGGUACCUGCAGAAGAAGCGCCGGCUAACUACGCGCCAGCAGCCGC